UUUAACUCCGGUUGAUCCUGCCGGACCCCACUGCUAUCGGGAUGGGACUAAGACAUGCUAGUCGUGCGCUUCCAAGCCACGGUGGAAGCGCGGCGCACAGCUCAGUAGCACGUGGCUAACCUGCCCUUGGGACGGAAAUAACCCCGGGAAACUGGGGCUAAUUUCCGAUAGGUGAAGACUCCUGGAAUGGGUCUUCGCCGAAAGGGCGUCUAGACCAUGCUUCUAGACGCUGCCCAAGGAUGGGGCCGCGGCCGAUCAGGUUGUUGGUGAGGUAACGGCUCACCAAGCCUUUGACCGGUGCGGGCCGUGAGAGCGGGAGCCCGGAGAUGGGCACUGAGACAAGGGCCCAGGCCCUACGGGGCGCAGCAGUCGCGAAACCUCCGCAAUACACGAAAGUGUGACGGGGCCAUCCCGAGUGCCGUCCGCUGAGGACGGCUUUUCCCCAGUGUACACAGCUGGGGGAAUAAGGAGAGGGCAAGCCUGGUGUCAGCCGCCGCGGUAAUACCAGCUCUCCGAGUGGUGGGGACGCUUAUUGGGCCUAAAGCAUCCGUAGCCGGCUGGGCAAGUCCUCCGUUAAAUCCAACGAUUCAAUCGUUGGACUGCGGGGGAUACUGUCCAGCUUGGGGGCGGGAGAGGCCGACGGUAUUCCCGGGGUAGGGGUGAAAUCCUAUAAUCCCGGGAGGACCACCAGUGGCGAAGGCUGUCGGCUAGAACGCGCCCGACGGUGAGGGAUGAAAGCUGGGGGAGCGAACCGGAUUAGAUACCCGGGUAGUCCCAGCCGUAAACGAUGCGGGCUAGGUGUUGGCACGGCUACGAGCCGUGCCAGUGCCGCAGGGAAGCCGUUAAGCCCGCCGCCUGGGGAGUACGGCCGCAAGGCUGAAAC
RNAcentral lists this ribosomal RNA (883 nucleotides) under Candidatus Bathyarchaeota archaeon. RNAcentral describes it as "bacterial SSU rRNA". It matches the Rfam family "Archaeal small subunit ribosomal RNA", at positions 1 to 855 of the family's 1478-position model. Lineage: Archaea; Thermoproteati; Candidatus Bathyarchaeota. The record is from RNAcentral.